UGCUGCCUCUCGCUCUGCCAGCAGUGAACAAGCACUGCCCCUCCUGAGCCUCUGAGGGGGCAGCAGCCUCCUCAGGAGCAUUCCCCCCUUCCCUCCCAAAAAAAAAACCAAGGGGGAGCUGGUCAAAGUGCUGCCAGGGUGGGAUGUCUUGACCCCCAACGGACUCACUGCCAGACAGUGUUCCCAGGUGUCUGGUUACUGACCAGCCCGGCCGGUUGACAAAGGAAUCUGCCAGCAUUCAGUCAGCUCCAGGGCCUGACCCCCACCCUGCUGUGCCCUGAGUUCCCCAUCCCAGCCGCUUGCUCCUGGGACCGACUGCCCCACACCCUGAUUUCACCGCCCCUUGCUCGUGGGCCCAUCCCCCCAUCCCCUCAGGCCGGGGCCUAACCCUACCAUGUCCCGAUGGAGCAGGCGCUGAGUCAGCGCCUCCCAACCCAGCUCUGCAGGCAGCAGGGGACUUCCUCUAAUGGCCAUUGGGUGAACAGAGAUUCCACAAACAUGACAUAUUGCUGAAAAGUGACCAUUCCCACCGCAGCCAUUCAGAAUGAUCGACGUGGCCAGAACCAUUCAACUCAUAUGGUGUGCAAGUCCUGUAGUCUGAAUUUGUUCAGGAGGAAACACUUUGUGAAAGAGUACAGAAGCCUAUAAUCAGAAUGGUGGAGGAGAGGAGAGCCAGAAGAGUGGAAUCAAACAUAUAGCUUCAUGUCGAGACCUUAGAAAUCAUCCUUAAUUAUGGUCUGGAGCUAUGCCAAGCCUAUGAUGUAUUGUAUAGGAAUAUCUAUGCAUGCUAAUCUAUAGCAUGUUUUUAUAAAUAC
Long non-coding RNA from Mauremys reevesii (Reeves's turtle), 815 nucleotides. RefSeq lists it as uncharacterized. Lineage: Eukaryota; Metazoa; Chordata; Testudines; Geoemydidae. The transcript is spliced from 3 exons. The record is from RefSeq and is a predicted model, not a curated record.